This is a long non-coding RNA of Oncorhynchus tshawytscha (Chinook salmon), 5576 nucleotides long. The record is from Ensembl. Lineage: Eukaryota; Metazoa; Chordata; Actinopteri; Salmoniformes; Salmonidae.
GUUUACAGAUCACUACUCAGUGCGGAAGAACAAUACAGCAGCACGGACCAAGCAGAAAGUUGAGGAAUAACAAUGAGUGAGUUAUCUUUAUAUAAACCACCACAGCAACUGGAUGCAGGGACACCAGGAGAACAGGAUGGAGAAGAGUCUCUUGACAAAGCAGUGGACAUUUCUCAACCCAUCUCUCUCCUGAUUAAUUCUGUCAGUCUCAGUGACGAAAGCGCGGAGGACCGCAUCCCUGCAGAGAGGACAACUCAAGCAAAGAUGCAGUCUGUUUUCCAGCAGGUGCGCAAGCAAGUCAAAUCACAGGUGGGCAUGAACGUCCCAAGGAAUGGCAUUCUGGAACUCGUUCAGAUGGUCAAAAGCAGAGAGCUGGAGAUGGCAAAGGUGAACGGCCCAGAAAACACAGAGAAAGCAGGUGAAGAGAUUUUGGAAGACAAGCGUACCGGUGAGAUGGAUGUCAAAAGGGAGGAGCUUAUAGCGGUUUUUCAACAUGAGCUGGAGGCCAGUAGUGAGGCACUGAGGGAUGAGUUUAAAGAGCAGAUCACCCAACUGCAGAUAGAAAUGCAAGCCUACACAGACCAGGCUCUGAAGAGUCUUGAGUCCAAGGUGCCGAACAGGCAAACAUACUCCCACAAUAUACUCCAGCGGAUGUAUCAAGCAGAGCAGCCAGAGACCAGGAGCCUUGAGAAGAAGAAGAAGUCUCCAGCAGCACCCUUACUGGGCUCUGGUAAGACCAGAGUUUUGAGCCGAACCAUGACAACUCUCACCCCGAAGACAUGUCCCCCUAUCGUCCUCGGGCCUCGCUCUAAAUCAGAGACCUUGAGCUCCUCGAGGGAUAACAGUUCUCUGCCUCACUUCAAGGAUCCACACUUCCAUGUUCUCUCUUUUCGGAGCCCCAAGUACCAUCAGUCCUGUGGACCUCUGCUACCUAGCUGCCCCCCACGUCUCAAUUGCAAAAAGCCUCUCCGCACCAAAGCUCAGACAGGAAACUCACACAGUUGCAUUGAAUUGGAUAAAAUGUAAUCGCUGACACAGAGAUAAUAGAUUGACCCAAAAGGAAUUUGGGGAGUUGUCAUAGGCUACAUGUUACCUUCUCAUAAGAUGCCUUAUCUGAAGUCAGUGCAGCCAGCCACACAGACAUGCUGAGUUGAAUGCUCAAAAUCAGGUGGGAUGCUGUUGUUUACAUGAUAUUUUUUACAUGAAGUGAAAUACUACGUUUGCUUCUGUUCCAUAUUAACUAUAUGGCUAUGUUAGAUCUGUUAAUAUUUUCAGUCUAUUUGAUUUCUAAUUCUUAACUUGUUUUAAGCGGUACCUCCUGAAAGGGCUGCAACAACUUAGAAUAAGCUAAUAGAAAUGGGGUGAAUUUCUAAUUACUUUGUUUCAAAAACCCAUGUUUCAAUCAUAGAAAUAGUUCACAUGGUAUAUGAUUGUAUGGAAAGAUAAAACAUUUCUGCUCUAGGAUCACAGCUGAUAUUUACAAUAUGCUUCACAAAUCACACUGAAAACUUCUCUCUAGUCUAGAGCCUCCAAAGAUGCUCAAGAUUACAGUAAACAAUUGUAUUAUUGUCAUUUGUGUGUGCUGCGAAGGAUACAGUGAAAUGUAACUUUAAAAAGUGAUACAGAAUGUUAAAUAAUGGGCGGCAGGUAGCCUAGCGGUUAAGAACAUUGGGCCAGUAACCGAAAGGUCACUGGUUUGAAUCCCAAGCCGAUGAGGUGAAAAAUGUGUUGAUGUGCCCUUGAGCAAGGCACUUAACCCUAAUUGCUCCUGUAGGGUGUUGCGGUCGGCAAACUACCUGGCCUCCAGGGCACCCGAUGUCACAGGAAGCCCAAAAAGAUCAUUAAGGACAACAACCACCCGAGCCACUGCCUGGCCACCUCGCUAUCAUCCAGAAGGCGAGGUCAGUACAGGUGCAUCAAAGCUGGGACCGAGAGACUGAAAAUCAGCUUCUAUCUCAAGGCCAUCAGACUGUUAAAUAGCCAUCACUAGCACAUUAGAGGCUGCUGCCUAUAGACUUGAAAUCACUGGCCACUUUAAUAAGUGGAAUACUAGUCACUUUAAUAAGUUUGACAUAUCUUGCAUUACUCAUCUCAUAUGUUUAUACUGUACUCAUGUGUUUAUACUGUAUUCUAUCCUAUUCUACUGUAUCUUAGUCUAUGCCACUGACAUUGCUCGUCAGUGGCAUAUAUAUUCUUAUUCCAUUCCUUUACUUAGAUUUCUGUGUAUUGUGUAAUGUUGUGAAAUUGUUAGAUAUUACUUGUUACUUGUCAUUAUUGCACUGUCGGCACUAGAAACACAAGCAUUUCGCUAGAACCACAAUAACAUCUACUAAACACGUGUAUGUGACCAAUAAAAUGUGAUUUGAUUUGGAUGAGAGUGUCUGCUAAAUGACAAAAAAUGUAAAUGACAAAAUGAAAUAUCUGUAUAAUUGAGUGAGACUAGAGAACUGGAUGUGAAUUCCUCAGGGGUCUGGAUUGCCCUCAAAAUGAGUCAAAUAAAGACUGUAAAACUUCAAUAUCAUUAGAACAAUACACUUCACAGGGUGAACAAUAAACAGCAAUAAUACCCGUUGCUCACUCACUGCUUUGCAUCCUUGUGUUCAAGUGCAGCUACAUUUAGAACUUUGAGUAACAACUGAACAUACUUGUCUGAUGGGAGUUUUUAAGCUGCAACAGAUGUCAGAGGGAAAAAAAGAGGUACAAAUGAGGGGAUGGCACUGGAUAACCAGGUCGUAGGGCUGUAGUGAACAUAUUGUACUACAACAAGAAACAUUUAAUAAAGAUGAACAUAAAUCAAUAAAGGUUCAUUUGACAGCAUGAAAUAACUGAUGCAAUCUAUAAGUGAUUAACAGGUGCUGUGAAUUGCAGGGGUUUUGUAAAUGAUGUUGUGUAUGUUCAUUGUUUAAAUACAUUUAUACAAAUACCUGAUCACGAGAGAUGACAAUGGCUACUUCAAACACAGACCAAUCAGCAACUGUAGCACAAGGGGGCAUCACACCUCAGAGGUAUUGAUCAAUUGAGUCAGGUUGUUUUUAGGUAGAAGGUUCAUCAGUGGUAAAGGACUGAAGGACCAAUUACGAUAUAAACGAUAUCAUAACCGCCAUCGAUAAAAGACAGUACUGUGCAGCCGUCUUCAUUGACCUGGUCAAGGCUUUCGACUCUGUCAAUCACCGCAUUCUUAUUGGCAGACUCAACAGCCUUGGUUUAUCAAAUGACUGCCUCGCCUGGCUCACCAGCUACUUCUCAGAUAGAGUUCAGUGUGUCAAAUCGGAGGGCCUGUUGUCCAAACCUCUGGCAGUCUCUAUGGGGGUGCUGUUGUCUGUUGUCUGUAGCUUGUGAGGUGUGGAAACACUUUGUUGCUUUUAUGAAUUUUGUCUUGCUGCUUUUUGUUCUAUGUUGCUCUGUCUGUAUGCUACGUCUUGCUUGUCCUAUGUUGCUCUGUCUGUAUGCUAUGUCUUGCUUGUCCUAUGUUGCUAUGUCUUGCUUGUUCUAUGUUGCUAUUGUCUAUAUUGUAAUUGUUUUUAAUAACCUGCCCAGGGACUGCGGUUGAAAAUUAGCCGGCUGGCUAAAACCGUCACUUUUACUGAAACGUUGAUUAAUGUGCACUGUCCCUGUAAAAAUAAAAAUAAACUCAACUCAACUCCACAGGGUUCAAUUCUCGGGCCGACUCUUUUCUCUGUAUAUAUCAAUGAUGUCGCUCUUGCUGAUGGUGAUUCUCUGAUCCACCUCUACGCAGACGACACCAUUCUGUAUACAUCUGGCCCUUCUUUGGACACUGUGCUAUAACAAACCACCAAACGAGAGUCAAUGCCCUACAAUACUCCUUCUGUGGCCUCCAACUGCUCUUAAAUGCAAGUAAAACUAAAUGCAUGCUUUUCAACCGAUUGCUGCCCGCACCCGCCUGCCCGCCUAGCAUCACUACUCUGGAUGGUUCUGACUUAGAAUAUGUGGACAACUACAAAUACCUAGGUGUCUGGUUAGACAGGGGUGGCAGGGUAGCCUAGUGGUUAGAGCGUUGGACUAGUAAGCGGAAGGUUGCAAGUUCAAACCCCUGAGCUGACAAGGUACAAAUCUGUCGUUCUGCCCCUGAACAGGCAGUUAACCCACUCUUUCUAGGCUGUCAUUGAAAAUAAGAAUUUGUUCUUAACUGACUUGCCUUACUAAAGGUAUAAAAUAAAGACUAAACUCUCCUUCCUGACUCACAUUAAGCAUCUCCAAAAUUAAAUCUAGAAUCAGCUUCCUAUUUUGCAACAAAGCCUCCUUCACUCAUGCUGCUAAACAUACCCUCGUAAAACUGACUAUCCUACCGAUCCUUGACUUCGGCAAUGUCAUUUACAAAAUAGCCUCCAACACUCUACUCAGCAAAUUGGAUGUAGUCUACCACAGUGCCAUCUGUUUUGUCACCAAAGCCCCAUACACUACCCACCGCUGCGACCUGUAUGCUUUGUUGGCUGGCCCUCGCUACAUAUUUGUCGCCAAACCCACUGGCUCCAGGUCAUCUAUAAGUCUUUGCUAGGUAAAGCCCCGACUUAUCUCAGCUCAUUGUUCACCAUAGCACGCACUCCAGCAGGUAUAUUUCACUGGUCAUCCCCAAAGCCAACACCUAUUUGGCAGCCUUUUCUUCCAGUUCUAUGCUGCCAAUGACUGGAAGGAAUUGCAAAAAUCACUGAAGCUGGAGACUUAUAUCUCCAUCACUAACUUUAAGCAUCAGCUCUCAGAGCAGCUUACCCAUCACUGUACCUGUACACAGCCCAUCUGUAAAUAGCACACCCAACUACCUCAUCCCUUUUCUGCAUUGUGUCCCGCCACCCACCAACCCCUCUUUUACGCUACUGCUACUCUCUGUUCAUCAUAUAUGCAGUUACAUUAACCAUAUCUACAUACUACCUCAAUCAGCCUAACUAACCGGUGUCUGUAUGUAGCCUCGCUAAUGUAUAUAGCCUUGCUACUGUUAUUUUUCACUGUCUUUUUACUGUUGUUUUAUUUCUUUACUUACCUAUUGUUCACCUAAUACCUUUUUUUGCACUUUUGGUUAGAGCCUGUAAGUAAGCAUUUCACUGUAAGGUUUACAUGUUGUAUUCGGCGCACGUAAGAAAUAAACAUUGAUUUAAAAAAAAAAAAAAUUGUUGCUCUUUUGCACCCCAGUAUCUCUACUUGCACCCCAGUAUCUCUACUUGCACAUUAUCUUCUACAUAUAUAUUCACUCCAGUGUUAAUGCUAAAUUGUAAUUAUUUCGCCACUAUGGCCUAUUUACUGCCUUACCUCCCUAAUCUUCUACAUUUGCACACACUGUACAUAGAUUUUUCUAUUGUGUUACUGGACUGUACGUUUGUUUAUCCCAUGGUUAACUCUGUGUUGUUGUUUGUGUCGCACUGCUUUGCUUUAUCUUGGCCAGGUCGCGGUUGUAAAUGAGAACUUGUUCUCAACUGGCCUACCUGGUUAAAUAAAGGCUAAAGAAAAAAAGAAAAAAAAGAAACAAAGGGAACUGGGAAGUCAUACAGAUGUAGGAUCUUCAUCUUAUCACCCUGUGCAGCAGCACGUUCCUGCAGGAGAUUUAAAAAGGCUUUUCCCUCAAU